AGAAUCAACGCUGGCGGCGUGCCUAACACAUGCAAGUCGAACGAGAAAGUGGAGCAAUCCAUGAGUAAAGUGGCGCACGGGUGAGUAACACGUGACUAACCUACCCUUGAGUGGGGGAUAACCUAGGGAAACCUGGGCUAAUACCGCAUAAUACCUUCGGGUCAAAGGAGCAAUUCGCUUAAGGAGGGGGUCGCGGCCGAUUAGUUAGUUGGCGGGGUAAUGGCCCACCAAGACUGUGAUCGGUAUCCGGCCUGAGAGGGCGCACGGACACACUGGAACUGAAACACGGUCCAGACUCCUACGGGAGGCAGCAGUGGGGAAUUUUGCGCAAUGGGGGAAACCCUGACGCAGCAACGCCGCGUGGAGGAUGAAGUCCCUUGGGACGUAAACUCCUUUCGAUCGGGACGAUUAUGACGGUACCGGAAGAAGAAGCCCCGGCUAACUUCGUGCCAGCAGCCGC
Molecule: ribosomal RNA, 460 nt
Filed under: uncultured bacterium
Lineage: Bacteria
Description: SSU rRNA
Rfam family: Bacterial small subunit ribosomal RNA
Source: RNAcentral